Molecule: long non-coding RNA, 968 nt
Organism: Oncorhynchus keta (chum salmon)
Lineage: Eukaryota; Metazoa; Chordata; Actinopteri; Salmoniformes; Salmonidae
Exons: 3
Source: RefSeq, a predicted model, not a curated record
UUUCAUAAAAACAGCUUUUUAAACAAGAUCUAGAAACACAGACACACCCCAACCUCUAGAUCUAUGUAGUGUCUAGUGUCCCAGCCAGGUGAACCUACCUCUAGAUCUAUGUAGUGUCUAGUGUCCCAGCCAGGUGAACCUACCUCUAGAUCUAUGUAGUGUCUAGUGUCCCAGCCAGGUGAACCUACCUCUAGAUCUAUGUAGUGUCCCAGCCAGGUGAACCUACCACUAGAUCUAUGUAGUGUCUAGUGUCCCAGCCAGGUGAACCUACCUCUAGAUCUAUGUAGUGUCCCAGCCAGGUGAACCUACCUCUAGAUCUAUGUAGUGUCCAGUGUCCCAGCCAGGUGAACCUACCUCUAGAUCUAUGUAGUGUCCAGUGUCCCAGCCAGGUGAACCUACCUCUAGAUCUAUGUAGUGUCUAGUGUCCCAGCCAGGUACCUCUAGAUCUAUGUAGUGUCUAGUGUCCCAGCCAGGUGAACCUACCUCUAGAUCUAUGUAGUGUCCAGUGUCCCAGCCAGGUGAACCUACCUCUAGAUCGAUGUAGUGUCUAGUGUCCCAGCCAGGUGAACCUACCUCUAGAUCGAUGUAGUGUCCCAGCCAGGUGAACCUACCUCUAGAUCUAUGUAGUGUCCAGUGUCCCAGCCAGGUGAACCUACCUCUAGAUCUAUGUAGUGUCCCAGCCAGGUGAACCUACCUCUAGAUCUAUGUAGUGUCUAGUGUCCCAGUCAGGUGAACCUACCUCUAGAUCGAUGUAGUGUCCCAGCCAGUUGAACCUACCUCUAGAUCUAUGUAGUGUCUAGUGUCCCAGCCAGGUGAACCUACCUCUAGAUCUAUGUAGUGUCCAGUGUCCCAGCCAGGUGAACCUACCUCUAGAUCGAUGUAGUGUCUAGUGUCCCAGCCAGGUGAACCUACCUCUAGAUCGAUGUAGUGUCCCAGCCAGGUGAACCUACCUCUAGAUCUAUGUAGUG